UGGGGAAUAUUGGACAAUGGGCGAAAGCCUGAUCCAGCCAUGCCGCGUGUGUGAAGAAGGUCUUCGGAUUGUAAAGCACUUUAAGUUGGGAGGAAGGGCAGUAAGCGAAUACCUUGCUGUUUUGACGUUACCGACAGAAUAAGCACCGGCUAACUCUGUGCCAGCAGCCGCGGUAAUACAGAGGGUGCAAGCGUUAAUCGGAAUUACUGGGCGUAAAGCGCGCGUAGGUGGUUCGUUAAGUUGAAUGUGAAAGCCCCGGGCUCAACCUGGGAACUGCAUCCAAAACUGGCGAGCUAGAGUAGGGCAGAAGGUGGUGGAAUUUCCUGUGUAGCGGUGAAAUGCGUAGAUAUAGGAAGGAACACCAGUGGCGAAGGCGACCACCUGGGCUCAUACUGACACUGAGGUGCGAAAGCGUGGGGAGCAAACAGG
RNAcentral lists this ribosomal RNA (429 nucleotides) under Pseudomonadota bacterium. RNAcentral's name for it is "Proteobacteria bacterium partial 16S ribosomal RNA". It matches the Rfam family "Bacterial small subunit ribosomal RNA", at positions 355 to 776 of the family's 1533-position model. The record is from RNAcentral. Lineage: Bacteria; Pseudomonadati; Pseudomonadota.